Molecule: ribosomal RNA, 301 nt
Filed under: uncultured bacterium
Lineage: Bacteria
Description: partial 16S ribosomal RNA
Rfam family: Bacterial small subunit ribosomal RNA
Source: RNAcentral
CAGUCGCCACGGGAAUACGAAGGGUGCAAGCGUUACUCGGAAUUACUGGGCGUAAAGCGUGCGUAGGUGGUGGUUUAAGUCCGUUGUGAAGGCCCUGGGCUCAACCUGGGAAUUGCAGUGGAUACUGGGUCACUAGAGUGUGGUAGAGGAUAGUGGAAUUUCCGGUGUAGCAGUGAAAUGCGUAGAGAUCGGAAGGAACAUCUGUGGCGAAGGCGACUAUCUGGGCCAACACUGACACUGAGGCACGAAAGCGUGGGGAGCAAACAGGAUUAGAUACCCCGGUAGUCCCUGUCUCUUAUAC